Long non-coding RNA from Papaver somniferum (opium poppy), 1218 nucleotides. RefSeq lists it as uncharacterized. The record is from RefSeq and is a predicted model, not a curated record. The transcript is spliced from 3 exons. NCBI's taxonomy places the organism in Eukaryota, Viridiplantae, Streptophyta, Magnoliopsida, Ranunculales, Papaveraceae.
AUUUAAUUUGUGAUUUUGGAACUGUUGCCUCUGCAUAACUAAAUUGAUAUUGUCUUAAAAGAUUUAGCAAACUGACUUACUACCUUAGCAAUUUGUUUUUCUAUUCUGAGAAAUAGUAUGAGAAAUCGACACCCUAAUAGGGUUGGAUCAAUCCAUCAGAGAGAUGAGCGAACCAAUGAUAGAAUAAAUUAGUCUACUCGCAAAUGACUUUAUUUUGUUGAUAUGAAAUGAUCCUACUACUGCUGCUCCGAUCAGGUUGGUCAAGUUUCACAUAACGUAGUUCUUGGAACGUUUAAUCUUGGGGACCAAAGUCAAAAUGGUGUUCCUAACUUUAGUCGGGUAUAAAACUCUUUGGUCAUUGGGCUUAUGCCUUCUAUUAUUGAUUCAUUUUGAUUUAUGCUUCGAAAUAUCUGUCUCUUCUGUAGAUUGUUGACGCUGUUUUAAAUUCUAUUGGGCUUGGGAGCCAGAUCCCUAUGGGCGCAACAAACACAUCAUCCAGUGUGCCUCUAAGUGACAUCCUAUUGGCAGAAUUUGGAGUAGCUCUUGCAGUGUGAGUGCACAAGAUUCUUCAGUAAACCAGACCUCGAGUAGGCACGCAAAAGCAAGUGCAUAUGUCCUCUGAAACUUCGUUUGUGGCUACCCUUCCUGCUCUUUUAUGCUAAGGUGUCUACAUGUUCUGAUCACCAUGAAGUAAAGCCUGCAUAGUAUGAAUAAGUAUGUCAGUUGGCUCUUUUAAGGUGCUGCCCUUUUAUCCAUCAGAUUUUCACUUGUCUGUUUGUUUUAGUUUGUGGAAAGUACUCUUACUGUUACUGGAUUGUGCUGAUCAGAAAAUUGUUGAAUUUUAAGUUGCAAGGGUGCAAGAUGAAGCUAAAGUGAUGACUAUAGAGAGUGGAACGUAACUUGGGAUGGCCUGAGUUCGAUACCUUCAUGGAUGCCGUCACUCUCUUCCCGAUGGUCUCAUGAGGGUUGCUGAUGUCAUGGUUGAUGGUGAGAUCGUUGUUGCUGCUGGAUAAGGAAAUGUCGGAAAGGGUUGUGCUUCUACAGGAUCUUCUCUCAAGCAAGCUGGUGCCAAGGUCCUAAUGAUUGAACUUGUGGUUGAAAUUUUUAGGACUUGUUGUAUCACUUCUCUUUAAGAAACUUUAAUUAUAGGGAGUUGAAUCCUUUUUUUUUAUGGUUUUGGACUAAAUUUAUGAGCACAGUUCAAUGUAACGGAGCUGU